AUGCAGUAGAGUAAAGCUAAGUUUCCUUUUGUUUGGGUAUUUUUUUUUCUUCUUCAGUUGUCUCUGCCAUCUUUGUCCUGACCAUUAGUGCUGUCCUGACUAGCUCACUUAUGAGCAGAAAAAAAUUAUCAAACCUUCAACCAGAAGUAAACACAUCACUUUGGACCACUCAAAGACACAGUCUACCUGCUGUUUAACCCAGUCUUUGGUUGGAGGUGAAGAAGAGAUGACAUCCUCCACACCAUCCCCCUGCUGCUCUCAACAACCAUCAUCGCUGUGCUGGACAGACUGCAGCACCCACCGGGACCCUUCUCUCAUGGACUACACAAACAUGUGUUUUACCUGCUUGUGCUCCAGAUGUCCUGAAGCAGCUCUCAAGGACCACCAGACACCAGGCUGAAGCAGAACUGAUGCUGUAGUACCUGUCACUCACUGGGCUCGUUCCUGCUGAAACUCCAAGAAAUAAACCCCUCUUCAAGAAAGUCUGAGGUAAUGUCUUGGUGAACUUGUGUUCAUUUAUUUUUUCUUAGUUAUCUUAGCUGCUGUAUUAAUGCUUGUGAUGCUAUUGUACAGCUCUGCUGAUACCAUCGUCUUUAACAGCAGUGUUUUCUCCCAGGUCUUCUUUAAGCCAGUUAAGAGAGGAAGAACAGCUUAGACACUCAGACAGCUGAACACACCAAAGGUGGACAUCAUGCAGCCACCCUGAGCCUUGACCCUCUCUGUGUGAGGAAGCUUUGCUGCUGCAGACCUGGUGAAGUUGCUCUGCUGCAGUGCUUAAGGUAUUCAUUGUAAUGAUGUGUGUAUUUAUUCAACAUGUUUAGUUUCACAGAUUAUCAACACAAAUGUUUCUGUUUAUUUCCUGUUUUGAACCAGCUACAUUCUCCUACUUCAAGUCACUGUCUGUUCAUCCACGGUGUAGCAAGUGCAGCUAACUAAUGGUGAUCCUACAAUCAAUUGUAUUGAUUACAGAGUUAAAGUGAAGGGGAUUUUGUUUGUUUUUUUCAGACCUCUCCUCCUCCCGCCUCUGACUCCAGUGAUGCUGUCAACUCGAACACUGAUAACUGCACACAGUGAUUCUACAACCACAGGUCAAAGGUCAAAACAUUACCUCACUCAAAACCUUCACUCUGAACUGUACCGGGCUCGGCUUUUGGUUUUGAAAAAAAGUGCCCAGACAGAACACAGUACUCACUUGAGGAACUGACUGAUUGUCUUCAGGACAGGACAACUAUCACUCUUAUAUUGUUUUGAAUCCUGUUUUCUACAUUAAAUGAUCGGUUGUCGAUAUCUGUUAAUAUUUUAAGUUUCCUGUUUCUUGGACUUUAUUUGUUCUAUCUUAUUUUAGUAUUUUCUUUCCCUUUUACUGUGUAUCUCUCCUUAUAUCAAAAGAUGACCAACACUGAUGAACGGAAAAGUUGUUGCAGGCAGCUGAAUUUCUCGUUUUAAUAUGCUCACCAUAG
This is a non-coding RNA of Xyrichtys novacula (pearly razorfish), 1460 nucleotides long. NCBI's taxonomy places the organism in Eukaryota, Metazoa, Chordata, Actinopteri, Labriformes, Labridae. The record is from the annotation of a GenBank genome assembly.